AUGCCAAAGAUAUCCCUUCCUAUAGUCAGUUUGACACCUCCUUGGGAACAGAUGUGCCUUCUUAGUACCCCGACCUUACCAGACUCCAACAGACUACAGUUGCUGAUCACAGGAGAAAAUGACAGACAAUCGAACACCUUAGACAGUCCCACAUUAAGAGUUAUGGCUAAAACCAAACUUUUCGUUAUAAAGCUGAACACCAUCGUGAUAGUGCAACUCAAUAACUACUAAGGAUCACUUUUUGUGAGCCCCUUUGAACUGUCUAUUAUACAAAUAUUGUACUGUUGCAACACAUUCUGGCCAAUAUUUAGCUUCUAAAUUUGCUUCUUUCAACAGACAUCCGGCUUUUUAAGUACUCAUUUUAGUAUGAUUGUAACGUUCAGCCGUUCCGUUUAAUUAAUGCAAAUAAAGUGGACACGGAUUGAGAAAAAUUCCCCUUUGUUUAAGGUAUCUCAGAGGAACAUUAUUAAUACAUUCGGUUCCAUUAUCACAUCUUAAUUUUUAAUCUUUAGACCUGUUUGAUUUUCCAUUAGAUUAUAUACUCUUGAAAUUUCUCGAACACUUCUGAUUUAUUUUUUAUGCAAAACAGUACAGCAAUUUUACUACAUAUAUUCAUUAUAAAAAUUACAACCUAUUUUUGACCUGCAUAACCUACAGGAUUGAUGCCAUCGUGAAGUACUGUUCCAACUUGCGUACGUUCGAGUGCAUUGGUCAGUUGUAUGUAAUGGGUAGUAGGCAUGAAAACUUCCAACAGCAAAGCGGAACUGAGGGACUUUAGUGAUCCUUUAUUUACGAAGUGCAAACAUUUUGCAUUUUCCUCCGUGUGGAUGGUGAAUACUCGCUCAUGGGUAGCAGGUUGGUCAAUGAUCGUUAUGGGUGACGGCUUGUAAUUACCAAACCUUGUUAUCUUUCUUCUGAAACAUACAUUACAAACCAUUGUUAGUACUUCUAAUCCAAUUAUAUUCAUUUAUAAAAAUUACAACUUAUUUUUGACCCGCAUAACCUACAGGAUUAGUUGGACCAUUUACAUCCGAAUGAAUUAUUUCGAAUGGUCUACCAGCUCUUUUUCCAUUAUUCUGAAACUUGGGAGUUGGCAUCUUGUUUUCAAGACACGUUUCACACUCGUAAUUUACUAAUGGAAUAUUAUUUGGAAAUCCUGAAAGUAAAUUUUUUGAACUUAACAUAUGUAGAUCUCGAAAAUUAAUAUGGCCUAACUUUCGAUGCCAUUUUUCUAAUGGUAACAAUUUUUUUUUUAGAGCAUUUAUGGUUAACUUUUCAAAAUCAUCAUGUCCAAAAGAUUCGCACUUGGUGCAAAUAAAUUUCCAAUCCUUUUGCAAUUCCUCCCAUUUGUCCAAAAUAAUUAUUUACUAAUACAUUUUUGUUUUGAAAGAGAAAAUUAUACUUAUCAUCAAGUAAUUCCGACACGCUAAGUAAAUUUCUGCUUAGUUCAGUUAGCAAAUCACGAUUACAAGAACACUGUCUCUCAUUCAUCUUUUUUUAUUAGAAAAAGAGCUUUUCCCACCGUUUUUCCAGCUCUCAUCAUUUUUUCUAUCAGGCUCUGUUGUGAUUUGACUGAACUGAGGUGCAGUACAGAUAUUAUGAAGAACAAUACACUCUUGUAAGGACUUCUAAUAAAAAUUUAUUGUAAUUUGCCUGUGUAGCUAUUUAUUGUAGAUAAUAUAUUGAUUCUUUAACAACAGUCUUCGACUUGAUCUUGAAAAUUAAAAGUAACAUCUCCUAGCAGUCCAAGAUACUUUAAAGAAUCAACAUUAACAAUCCACCGGUCAUCUGCUUAAUUUUAAAAGUCAAAAUCUAAACAGUCAUUUGCUGUUGAGCAGUAGUAGAUCUUAACCCCAUUUAUAUCGUAACAACUUGUUUCAAACCACUGGAUAGUCAAAUUUUCAUGAACGUCGAAGCUCUGUUUUUACAUUCGCAUCAUGUACUUCAAUUUAUUGUAUUUGGAUUGACAUUUUUUUGUUUUGUUGAUUGUUUUAAUCACUUCAAUAAAUUUAUUUUGUUUUAAACAUUUGUUACAACCUUCCUCCCGUCACUUUUUUUGUGGGAGAAAAUUUCAGAAAAACUUCCAAAAAAUAUAAAUUUUGGUUAGGGGAAGAUGGUGUCAACAAAUUUUGCACUGAAAUAGCAAAUUUUCAAUGCUUUAUAUUGAUCUAGAAAAUAAUUUUUCACCACACAGGCAACUUUUUAUUCUUAGUCCAUGCUUUUUGAAAGUGCUCUUCUCACAUUUUGUAGACUCAGAAGUAAAUUCCAAAGAGAAAAAUAAUAAAAGUUUAUGUUUUUCUUUCACCAAGACUUGAUCAGGUACUUCAGAGUUUUGGAACUUUACAAUAACUUGAAUUUUAAAUAAUGAUUGAGUAUUAUCAAAUUGUAUCACCAAGAAGCUAGAUGC
Molecule: long non-coding RNA, 2407 nt
Filed under: Bemisia tabaci
Lineage: Eukaryota; Metazoa; Arthropoda; Insecta; Hemiptera; Aleyrodidae
Description: lncRNA ENSSSA3NGG012419
Source: RNAcentral